AACGAACGCUGGCGGCAUGCCUAACACAUGCGAGUCGAACGAGACCUUCGGGUCUAGUGGCGCACGGGUGCGUAACGCGUGGGAAUCUGCCCUUGGGUCCGGAAUAACUCAGAGAAAUUUGAGCUAAUACCGGAUGAUGACGUAAGUCCAAAGAUUUAUCGCCCAGGGAUGAGCCCGCGUAGGAUUAGCUAGUUGGUGAGGUAAAGGCUCACCAAGGCGACGAUCCUUAGCNGGUCUGAGAGGAUGAUCAGCCACACUGGGACUGAGACACGGCCCAGACUCCUACGGGAGGCAGCAGUGGGGAAUAUUGGACAAUGGGCGAAAGCCUGAUCCAGCAAUGCCGCGUGAGUGAUGAAGGCCUUAGGGUUGUAAAGCUCUUUUACCCGGGAUGAUAAUGACAGUACCGGGAGAAAUAAGCCCCGGCUAACUCCGUGCCAGCAGCCGCA
Molecule: ribosomal RNA, 446 nt
Filed under: uncultured bacterium
Lineage: Bacteria
Description: bacterial SSU rRNA
Rfam family: Bacterial small subunit ribosomal RNA
Source: RNAcentral